CGGGCUUGGGUUAUUCUUUUUUUACAAAAAAGACUUUUGUUGUUCAAUCCAACAGAGCUUGA
This 62-nucleotide transfer RNA is filed under the name Ricania speculum. RNAcentral describes it as "tRNA-Val". Lineage: Eukaryota; Metazoa; Arthropoda; Insecta; Hemiptera; Ricaniidae. The record is from RNAcentral.